MicroRNA precursor from Arabidopsis lyrata subsp. lyrata, 122 nucleotides. It matches the Rfam family "MIR4227 microRNA precursor family". NCBI's taxonomy places the organism in Eukaryota, Viridiplantae, Streptophyta, Magnoliopsida, Brassicales, Brassicaceae. The record is from Rfam.
GUUCACACGACAACACAAUUUCAUUUGUGCCAAUCAUUCUAACAAAGUAUACCUCGGUCUCAGUGAUGGCAUACUUUGCUGGAUUGAUUGGUACACAUGAAAUUGUGAUGUUAUCGGCAGUA